AGAUGGUUGUAGUGUUUUAAUAUCCAUGUUUCGUGAAUUUGUUGAUUUUCUAAAACUUGAAAUUUUCAUUGGAAAUUAUUAUAAAUAAUUCAUUUGUUAUAUAUUGGAUUUAAUUAUUAUAAUUUUUAAGUUGUUUUCUUAAUUAAUUUUAUAUAUAAUAUUAUUAUUGAUGUUAAUUAUUAGUAUAAUAUCACAUUGUUUAAUAAAAAGGUUAGAAAAAAUAAAAAAAAGAAAAUGUAUAAAUAUAGAUAGCUGUAAAAUGAAAUAUUUAUUUGUUUUAACUUUAUAAUUAAAUGUUAAUCUUAAAUAUAAUUAUUGCUAUGAAUUUCUUUGAUAAUAUGAUGUUAAAAAGAAAAUUUUUUUUUUGACUAAUCUUUGUGAAUGAACAUUUGUUUUUCUUUUUAUUAUAAAAUUAGUAUUUAAUUUAUUAAUUAAUUAUCAAUCAUGAUUAAGGCUAUAUUAGUAUUUAAUAAUCAUGGAAAGCCUAGACUUUCUAAAUUUUAUCAAUAUUUUAAUGAAGAUAUGCAGCAACAAAUAAUAAAGGAAACAUUUCAAUUAGUUUCAAAGAGAGAUGAUAAUGUUUGUAAUUUUUUAGAAGGUGGAAGUUUAAUUGGUGGAUCUGAUUAUAAAUUGAUCUAUCGACAUUAUGCUACGUUAUAUUUUGUAUUUUGUGUUGAUAGUUCAGAAUCAGAAUUGGGAAUUUUGGAUUUAAUACAAGUUUUUGUUGAAACAUUGGAUAAAUGUUUUGAAAAUGUAUGUGAACUUGAUCUUAUCUUUCAUGUAGAUAAAGUUCAUUAUAUACUUAAUGAAUUAGUGAUGGGUGGAAUGGUUUUGGAAACUAAUAUGACUGAAAUACUUACAAGAAUUGAAGAUCAAAAUAAAUUGGAAAAACAGGAGGCAGGAAUCACAGCAGCGCCGGCGCGUGCUGUUUCUGCUGUCAAGAAUAUGAACAUACCACAACAGAUAAAGGAUAUGAAGUUGCCUGAUUUACCACAAGCUAUAAAAGAUCUUAAAUUCUGACCAGCCGUUACUUCGUUGGCUCCAAGCUGACUAGUUUCAACUAUAAUUCCAAAUGCAAAUGAUACUACAAGGGUUUUUUUUCCCUUUCAUUCAAGCAAACGAGAAUACAUCAAUAUUAUCCACAAAUUCUUCAUGUAUUUCAUCUCAACAAAAUUAAUCAAUGAAGAUUUUCAAAGAAGAGGAUUUGUACUAUAUAAUUUGAGAAAAUUACUUAUAUCUGACCUUAAAAUUAAGAAUUUGGAUUAUUGGAAGUAUUAUGUUCAAUAUAUAAGAAAAAAAAGAUGUAACAAUUUCAUUUCUAAGUGUAGUCCAUAUAUAUCCAGUACCCCUUUCUGUAAGUGGUGGUGGAUAUGAUGUAUUUUUUAGUUUGUAAUAAUCUGAUGGAGCAUGCAUUACAAA
RNAcentral lists this unclassified non-coding RNA (1419 nucleotides) under Apis florea (little honeybee). RNAcentral describes it as "aP-3 complex subunit sigma-2, transcript variant X2". Lineage: Eukaryota; Metazoa; Arthropoda; Insecta; Hymenoptera; Apidae. The record is from RNAcentral.